UCCUGGUUCUCACCAGAAAGCUUCAACCCUCGGGUUUUGAGACGGGCAGGGGUAUGCCUCUUCAUCGGAACGCUAGCGAUUGCACUGGUUUUGGGAAGUUUACAUUCGAAUUCUAGCGGUAUGAAAGGCAGCGCUCGCUUCAGUGCAGUCGACAGGGUGAAGG
This 163-nucleotide non-coding RNA is filed under the name Bigelowiella natans. The record is from RNAcentral. Lineage: Eukaryota; Cercozoa; Chlorarachniophyceae.